Molecule: RNA transcript, 2006 nt
Organism: Onychostruthus taczanowskii (white-rumped snowfinch)
Lineage: Eukaryota; Metazoa; Chordata; Aves; Passeriformes; Passeridae
Gene: KCNK15
Gene name: potassium two pore domain channel subfamily K member 15
Exons: 3
Source: RefSeq, a predicted model, not a curated record
CCAUCUCACGUCCUCCCUGCACGGGUCUGGACCGCUCGAAGGAGGAACGGGGAAAGGGUUUUGUGCUUGGGGAGGGAGAUAGAACUAGGCAGCAGGAGCAGCUGUAGGGAGGGGGCAGCUCUUGAGCAGGGCUCACUCUGCCUGUGCUGGAGGCAGACACCUGGUACAUCUCUGCCUGCUGGCACCGGCCGUGGCAGCAUGAGCCCCAUGGAACACUGCCAGUGUCCUCCUUACCUCUGCUCCCAGUAUUCCUGAGCGCUGCGGGCAGGAAAAAGGCUGUCAGGAAUGGCAGGGAGGGCGGCUCAUGGGGUGCAGGCUUCCAGCCCCCGGUGUGGAAAACUGGGAGGUUUCUCCUGACCGCGAGUGGGACAGAACACAAACAGGCUGAAAGCUUUGGCUCCCCUCCUCAGGCAUCCCUCUGCCGCCCCCCUGCCUCCUGCUCCCCCCAGGCAGUCCCAGCACCCAAACCAGCCAGGGGGCUCCGUGACCCUGCGCCCGGCUCCGAGCGGGCCGGGGGGAGGCGCCGGGGGAGGGGCGGAAGCCGCUCCGCUGAGGCUCUGUCGGCACAUCCUCCCCGUGUCCCGGGGAAAGUCCGGCACCCUCGAGUCCCGGGCCGGGCUCAGCAGGAGCGGGGGAGCCGCAGCCUGUGCCGGAGGACACGGAGCUGCCGCGGGCACCGGUGCCUCCGAGCGGGGCUGCCGCCCUGGCAGCGCUGCCGCAGCGCCCGAUGGCUGCGGACGCUCUCUCCGCCUGGCCCGGCAAUGGCACCUUGCCUCGGGCUCCUUGCCCCGUGGAUUCCGCCUUCGCCCAGCGCUUCCUGCCCGCCGUGUACCUGACCGUGAUCCCCCUGGGGCUGCUGGGGAACGGGCUGGGGCUGUGGCACCUCUGCACGGGGCCCCGCGAGGGUGCCCGCCAGCCCCUCAGCCUGCUGGUGGGCAACCUGGGGCUGGCUGACCUGCUCUAUGUCAGCACGCUGCCCUUCCUCGUCAGCUACUACCGCCACGGCAGAGUGUGGAUCUUCGGGCAGCCCUGGUGCCGCCUCACCCGCAGCCUCUUCCACCUCAACCUCUACGCCAGCAUCGGCUUCCUCACCUGCAUCAGCAUCCACCGCUACCUGGGCAUCGUGCACCCGCUGAAGGCGCGGGGAAGAUGCCAGGGUGCAGCCUCCUCCGUGUGGCUCAGCGUGACAGUCUGGGUGUGGGUCGUGGCACAGAUAGCUCCCGAUCUUGCCUUCAGCAAGGCAGAUGGCAACAGGACGCAGUGCCACGACACGACAGGACAGGAGCACCUGCACGUUUACUUGCCCUACACCUUUGCUGUCACCGUGACUGGGUUUGUCAUCCCGUUCCUCAUCAUCAUCGGGUGCUACUGCCACGUGGUGUUCGUGCUCUGCAGGAACGACAGCGUGGACCCCAGCCUCAGGAGGAGAAGCAUCGGGCUGGUGAUUCUCGUCAUGGUUCUCUUUUCCAUCUGCUUCCUCCCCUACCACAUCUUCAGAAACCUCAACUUGUUUUUUCGCUGGCAGCCACAAGGGUCCUGCACACAGGUUUCAAAGGACAUCUAUGUUUCCUACCAGGUGACUCGGGGCCUGGCCAGCCUCAACAGUGCCCUCAACCCCUUGCUCUAUGUGGUUACCAGCAAAGACUGGAGGUCACGAGUGAGGACCAUCCGCCAAAGCGCCAGACAGUGUCUGAGGCCACCCUUCCGGAGCAAAACCUCUUGCCAGGCAGCUGAGAAGAAGAGGAACGACAUUAUUUGUAAGGGAGAGGCUUCUAAUGAGCUCUGAGGAGGAAGACUGAGACAUUAGGAUCAGACCUGGUCCCUGCUCCUUGCAUGUGCGCCCCAGAUCCGGGCUUCUCCAGAGCUCCGAACUCUUCUCCUUUCCUCAACAAACACCCACGCCUCUGAAAGCUGUCCAGCUCUUCCAUCUUCACACAUGGAUCCUGUCUAAGGUUAUGGGCACGCUGCUCCUGGCACAGACGCUGGCAAAGUCUUCUGCAUGUUCU